AUUGAACGCUGGCGGCAUGCCUUACACAUGCAAGUCGAACGGCAGCGCGGACUUCGGUCUGGCGGCGAGUGGCGAACGGGUGAGUAAUACAUCGGAACGUACCCUGUUGUGGGGGAUAACUAGUCGAAAGAUUAGCUAAUACCGCAUACGACCUGAGGGUGAAAGUGGGGGACGGCAAGGCCUCACGCAGCAGGAGCGGCCGAUGUCUGAUUAGCUAGUUGGUGGGGUAAAGGCCCACCAAGGCGACGAUCAGUAGCUAGUCUGAGAGGACGAUCAGCCACACUGGGACUGAGACACGGCCCAGACUCCUACGGGAGGCAGCAGUGGGGAAUUUUGGACAAUGGGGGCAACCCUGAUCCAGCAAUGCCGCGUGUGUGAAGAAGGCCUUCGGGUUGUAAAGCACUUUUGUCCGGAAAGAAAUCGCGCUGGUUAAUACCUGGCGUGGAUGACGGUACCGGAAGAAUAAGCACCGGCUAACUACGUG
RNAcentral lists this ribosomal RNA (484 nucleotides) under uncultured bacterium. RNAcentral describes it as "partial 16S ribosomal RNA". It matches the Rfam family "Bacterial small subunit ribosomal RNA", at positions 30 to 507 of the family's 1533-position model. The record is from RNAcentral.